Molecule: ribosomal RNA, 458 nt
Filed under: uncultured bacterium
Lineage: Bacteria
Description: partial 16S ribosomal RNA
Rfam family: Bacterial small subunit ribosomal RNA
Source: RNAcentral
CCUACGGGAGGCAGCAGUGAGGAAUAUUGGUCAAUGGGCGAGAGCCUGAACCAGCCAAGUCGCGUGAGGGAGUACUGCCCUAUGGGUUGUAAACCUCUUUUGUCGGGGAACAAAAGCCGGACGUGUCCGGCUGUGAGAGUACCCGAAGAAAAAGCAUCCGCUAACUCCGUGCCAGAAGCCGCGGUAAUACGUAGGAUGCGAGCGUUAUCCUGAUUUAUUGGGUUUAAAGGGUGCGCAGGAGGAUUUUUUAGUCAGCGGUGAAAUCGUGGGGCUCAACCCCAUCCAGACGUUGAAACUGGGGAUCUAGAGUGUGCGAGAGGUAGGCGGAAUGCGUGGUGUAGCGGUGAAAUGCAUAGAUAUCACGCAGAACCCCGAUUGCGAAGGCAGCAUACCGGUGCACAACUGACGCUCAGGCACGAAAGCGUGGGUAUCGAACAGGAUUAGAUACCCUGGUAGUC